UGGGGAAUAUUGGGCAAUGGGCGCAAGCCUGACCCAGCAACGCCGCGUGAAGGAAGAAGGCUUUCGGGUUGUAAACUUCUUUAGGGUGGGAACAAAGGACGCCACGCGUGGCGAGAUGAGUGUACCACCAGAAUAAGCAUCGGCUAACUCCGUGCCAGCAGCCGCGGUAAUACGGAGGAUGCGAGCGUUAUCCGGAUUUAUUGGGUUUAAAGGGUGCGUAGGCGGUUUGUCAAGUCAGCGGUCAAACUGCGGGGCUUAACCUCGUAUUGCCGUUGAAACUGGCUGACUAGCGUGGCGUCGAGGUGUGCGGAAUGCGUUGCGUAGCGGUGAAAUGCAUAGAUAUGACGCAGAACUCCGAUUGCGAAGGCAGCACACCGGGCGCCUACGGACGCUGAGGCACGAAAGCGUGGGUAUCG
RNAcentral lists this ribosomal RNA (416 nucleotides) under uncultured Barnesiella sp. Its description in RNAcentral is "bacterial SSU rRNA". It matches the Rfam family "Bacterial small subunit ribosomal RNA", at positions 355 to 770 of the family's 1533-position model. Lineage: Bacteria; Pseudomonadati; Bacteroidota; Bacteroidia; Bacteroidales; Barnesiellaceae. The record is from RNAcentral.